This is a small nucleolar RNA of Vigna unguiculata (cowpea), 107 nucleotides long. The record is from RefSeq and is a predicted model, not a curated record. Lineage: Eukaryota; Viridiplantae; Streptophyta; Magnoliopsida; Fabales; Fabaceae.
AAAGCAUGAUGUGGACAUUUCCUUAGUAACUCCUUGUACCUUUCCCAAGCCUCGUACAAAAAUUCAAUUUCUUGUUGCACAAAAGUAGUGAUUUCAUUCCUGAUUCU